CCCUUCUGAAGUCUCAGUGCCUCCACCCUAGCCCAGACUGUCAUCACCUCACACCUGUAUUUCUGCAAUAGUCUGUCUUCUAUCUGAUUAUCCUGAAACACUGCUCCCCCUCUACCUCUUUUGUUUCCCUUACUUUCUUCAAGAUUCACCUCAAGCUCCAGAUGCUACACAAAAAUCUAUCUUGGCCCCUCUCCUAGUCACUUGUGCCAUCUCCUUUCAGAUUACCUUUGAUUUAUACCAUACAUAUCUAGUACAUUUGUGAGUUUUAAUAGAUUGUUUCUCCCCAUUAGAAAGUACAUCCUUGGUGGCAGCUGGGUGGCUCAGUGGAUUGAGAGCCAGGUUUAGAAAUGGAAGGCCCUAUGUUCAAAUUUGGUCUCAGAAAAUACUUCCUAGCUAUGUGACCCUGAGCAAGUCACUUGACUCCUAUUGCCUAGCCUUACCACUCUUCUGCCUUGAAACUGAUACACAGUAUUAACUCUAAAACAGAAGGUAAGGAAAAGAAAGAAAGGAAGGAAGGAAGGAAGGAAGGAAGGAAGGAAGGAAGGAAGGAAGGAAGGAAGGAAGGAAGGAAGGAAGGAAGGAAGGAAGGAAGGAAGGAAGGAAGGAAGAGAGAGAGAAAGAGAGAAAGAGAGAAGGAAGGAAGGAAGGAAGGAAGGAAGGAAGGAAGGAAGGAAGGAAGGAAGGAAGGAAGGAAGGAAGGAAGGAAGGAAGGAAGAGAUUAGUUAUAGUUGGGUAUCAAGGUGGCUCAGUGGAUCAAGAGCCAGGCUGGGAAAUGGGGAGGUCUUGGAUUCAAAUGUGCCCUCAGACACUUCCUAGCUGUGUGACCCUGGGCAAAUCACUUAACCCCCAUUACCUAGCCCUUAACUGCUCUUCUGCCUUAGAAGCAAUACACAGUUAUUGAUUCUAAGACAGAAGUUAAGAGUUUAAAAAAAAAAAAGAAUCAUGCCUCUCUCACAUUUGACACAUUAGGAAACUGAGGCUGGAGAAUGCAUGAAAUGACUUGCUCUUCUGCCUUGGAACCAAUACUCAGUAUUGAUUGUAAGAUGGAAGGUCAGGGUAUGAAAAAAAAAAGAUAUUGGUUCCAAAAUGCACCUCCACUGACCAAGGAUUGGUGUGGGAGUAUAAAGUCCUCAUAUUGAGAGCAGAGUUGACUGAGGACAGUUCACAAAGCCUGCUGGGGGGAGGGACACCCCCAGUGGCCACAGCAUGCAGGGCAAGUCCCACUGGCAAGGCCAUCAGCCAGCCAUAUGGAAAGUUACAGCUAUUUUCUGAAGGAUGUCUCCACCCAUUCAAGGAGUCCUAAGGAGGACAUGCUAUGGAAGAGGUAAGGCUGGAGAGGCAGGAGGCUGAAGCAGAGAAAAUGAGCUUAGUGGAGUGUGCACGCAGGACAGCUCUCUGGAUCCAAUAGGUAAUUAUUACACACCAGCUAUGUGCCACUU
This 1439-nucleotide long non-coding RNA is filed under the name Monodelphis domestica (gray short-tailed opossum). Its description in RNAcentral is "lncRNA (ENSMODG00000044205.1)". Lineage: Eukaryota; Metazoa; Chordata; Mammalia; Didelphimorphia; Didelphidae. The record is from RNAcentral.